This 331-nucleotide unclassified non-coding RNA is filed under the name soil metagenome. RNAcentral's name for it is "partial contains 5.8S ribosomal RNA, internal transcribed spacer 2, and large subunit ribosomal RNA". The stretch from base 1 to 120 matches the Rfam family "5.8S ribosomal RNA", at positions 35 to 154 of the family's 154-position model. The record is from RNAcentral.
GAUGAAGAACGUAGCGAAAUGCGAUAAGUAAUGUGAAUUGCAGAAUUCAGUGAAUCAUCUAAUCUUUGAACGCACAUUGCGCCCCCUGGUAUUCCGGGGGGCAUGCCUGUUCGAGCGUCAUUUCACCACUCAAGCCUCGCUUGGUAUUGGGCAACGCGGUCCGCCGCGUGCCUCAAAUCGACCGGCUGGGUCUUCUGUCCCCUAAGCGUUGUGGAAACUAUUCGCUAAAGGGUGUUCGGGAGGCUACGCCGUAAAACAACCCCAUUUCUAAGGUUGACCUCGGAUCAGGUAGGGAUACCCGCUGAACUUAAGCAUAUCAAUAAGCGGAGGA